CGGCGAGUGAAGCGGCAACAGCUCAAAUUUGAAAUCUGGCUCUUUCAGGGUCCGAGUUGUAAUUUGUAGAGGGUGCUUUGGCGUUGGCCGUGGUCUAAGUUCCUUGGAACAGGACGUCACAGAGGGUGAGAAUCCCGUACGUGGCCGCCGGUCUUCGCCGUGUAAAGCCCCUUCGACGAGUCGAGUUGUUUGGGAAUGCAGCUCUAAAUGGGAGAUAAAUUUCUUCUAAAGCUAAAUAUUGGCCAGAGACCGAUAGCGCACAAGUAGAGUGAUCGAAAGAUGAAAAGCACUUUGGAAAGAGAGUCAAAAAGCACGUGAAAUUGUUGAAAGGGAAGCGCUUGCAGCCAGACGUGCCCGCAGUUGCUCACCUGGGCUCUCGCCCGGGGCAUUCUUCUGCGGGCAGGCCAGCAUCAGUUCGGGCGGUUGGAUAAAGGCCUCUAUCACGUACCAUCCUUCGGGAUGUCCUUAUAGGGGAGGCGCAACACGACCAGCCUGAACUGAGGACCGCGCAUUUGCUAGGAUGCUGGCGUAAUGGCUGUAAGCGGCCCGUCUUGAAACACGGACCAAGGAGUCUAACAUCUAUGCGAGUGUUUGGGUGUAAAGCCCGGACGCGCAAUGAAAGUGAACGGAGGUGGGAACCCCUCGGGGUGCACCAUCGACCGAUCCUGAAGUCUUCGGAUGGAUUUGAGUAAGAGCAUAGCUGUUGGGACCCGAAAGAUGGUGAACUAUGCCUGAAUAGGGUGAAGCCAGGGGAAACCCUGGUGGAGGCUCGCAGCGGUUCUGACGUG
This 788-nucleotide ribosomal RNA is filed under the name Xenoroussoella triseptata. RNAcentral describes it as "partial large subunit ribosomal RNA". It matches the Rfam family "Eukaryotic large subunit ribosomal RNA", at positions 87 to 893 of the family's 3401-position model. Lineage: Eukaryota; Fungi; Ascomycota; Dothideomycetes; Pleosporales; Thyridariaceae. The record is from RNAcentral.